UUUUUUAUAUAGAUCACUUCUCAUGAAGACAGUACUGCAUGAAGAAUAAUGAGCUAUCGUCCAUUUUGUUAUGGUAUGAUCAUAUUGUUUUUUUUAUGUAUUUUGAAUUUUGGCCUCUAUAUUUAURUAUGAUAUUGUUUCAAUCUAGAAAAAUUUUAGUGGAUGUUCAGCCCCCCCUAAACUUGUUGUCUGCGUCCGCCACUGGCGGUAAGAUCUUCUCCCUCUACUCAAAUUGCAUCUUUUUUUAGUGAAUCCCUAUCUAGCGACAUGAGUGAUUUGGCGCAGCAGCUCCAGGGGCAGCAGCGCAGGUCAGUCAAGACAAAGAGACAUGGGGGGCACAAUGCCCUUGACCUAUUCUUAAACUUUAGAUAGGUAGGAUGGCACGGCUGGUCGGUGAGCUAUGCCAUGUAGUCAGGAGCUCCAAGUGGGCCAUUUUUUAUAAGUAGAACUGGCGAUGCGGGAUGAACCGGAAGCCGAGUUUUGGUGCUGAACUACGCGCUAACCUAGAACCCACAAAGGGUGUUGGUCAAUUAAGACAAUAGGAUGGUGGUCAUGGAAGUCAAAAUCUGCUAAGGAGUGUGUAACUCCUCACCUACCAAAUCAACUAGCCCUGAAAAACCCGGGGCGCGAGCCCGGGCGGAGCGGCUAUUGGUGCAGAUCUUGGUGGUAUAGCAAAUAUUCAAACGAGAACUUUGAAGGCUGAAGAGGACAAGUUCCAUGUGAACGACACUUGCACAUGGGUAAGCCGAUCCUAAGGGAUGGGGUAACCCUGGUAGACAGCGCGAUCACGUGCAUUGCUCGAAAGGGAAUCGGGUUAAGAUUUCCUAAGCCAGGACUUGGCGAUUGACGACGACGUUAGGAAGUCAGGAGACGCCGGUGGAGGCCUCAAGAAGACUUAUCUUUUUUGCUUAACGGCCUGCCAACCUUGGAAAUGGUUCAACCGGAGGUAUGGUCCAGCGGUCGGAGAGCAUCGCACGUCGUGCGGUGUCUGGUGUGCUCCGACGGCCCAUGAAAAUCUGUAGGACCGAGUAUCGUCCACGUCCGGUCGUACUCAUAAUCACAUCAGGUCACCAAGGUGAACAACCUCUGGCCAAUGGAACAAUGUAGGCAAGGGAAGUCUGCAAAAUGGAUCUGUAACUUCGGCAAAAGGAUUGCUCUGAGGAUUGGGCUCGAGGUCCUGACGUGCCAGCAUGCAUAGGACUCCCCACAGGCCAGAUCGCCCAGCAUAUGGGCCAAACUGGGCUGGACACUACAAAGGACCUGAUACAGUACAAGUCGGCGUAUUAGGCGCAAUUCUAGGAGAUAAAGUAGUCGGAUCUUAUCUAGGCAGUUCUAUUGUACUCUGUUGUGAUCCUCCUGCAUGUAACCUCCUGGAAUAUCUCUAUUCUGGCUUGUAACCCUGCCUCCCAGUCUAUAUAAUAUAAGGCAGGGAUCCCUCCAAAACAACUCAAU
This 1452-nucleotide non-coding RNA is filed under the name Dichanthelium oligosanthes. Its description in RNAcentral is "Eukaryotic large subunit ribosomal RNA". It matches the Rfam family "Eukaryotic large subunit ribosomal RNA", at positions 436 to 2104 of the family's 3401-position model. Lineage: Eukaryota; Viridiplantae; Streptophyta; Magnoliopsida; Poales; Poaceae. The record is from Rfam by way of RNAcentral.